This 521-nucleotide small RNA is filed under the name Arabidopsis thaliana (thale cress). RNAcentral's name for it is "ATSL029780". Lineage: Eukaryota; Viridiplantae; Streptophyta; Magnoliopsida; Brassicales; Brassicaceae. The record is from RNAcentral.
GUAGACACCUAAGUAUGGAAUCGUUUGAGAAAACAGUGUUCCAUAUGGUGUCGAUCGACACCGGGAUUCUCACUUCAUAUGGUGUAGUCCAGACCCAGUGUCGAUCGACACUAGAGGUGUGUCGGUCGACACCUAAGUAUGGAAUCGUUUGAGAAAACAGUGUUCCACAGGGUGUCGAUCGACACCAACUAUGCAGCUGCGAGCUCCAACUCGUCUUCAGUGUCCAAUUCCUCCCACACAUCAUCUCCAUCUCUGAUCAAGAUGGCAUAACAGCUCUUCCUAGGGUUAGCAUAAGGGUUUCCAGGAAGAAAGUCCUCUUGUCUCUUGAUAGAUUGUGCAGUUUGAGCAACCUGUACAUCUAGCUUUUUUAUGUGAGAGCUCAGAUUGUUGAUCUUCCCGUUAAAACCUGUGUAGACAGCAUCAAACUUGCCAUUAAACUCAACAACGAGCUUUGUAUGACUCUCUAGAAUCUACUCAAACAUGGAUUCUAUUCUACUCUCUGAUGAGGGUGGAGAGAGGGG